Molecule: long non-coding RNA, 330 nt
Organism: Trachemys scripta elegans
Lineage: Eukaryota; Metazoa; Chordata; Testudines; Emydidae
Exons: 3
Source: RefSeq, a predicted model, not a curated record
GAUCAACAAGCAAAUCUGGCUGACAUUCUGAUGCUGGAGAAUCAAAUCCACAAGGAAGUUUUUAAUGUGAAAUGGGGUAUCUUCACAGCUAAAAGCAAACACCAGGGGUGACAACCUGCCAGCACAUCUUAAUCAGCGGCCACGGCCGAUAACCAAUCAUGUCCUCAAUGUUGUCAUAGAAACGGUCCGCACCUUGACCACCAGAGGAAAGGACAGAGAAAGACAGAGGAACACAUUGUGAUGUUAAAUACAGCCUGGGCAAAUUCAUCCCUGGUGUAAAUCUGCUGAAGUCAACAGAGUAUCACAAACAUAACAUAAGAACAGCCAUAC